UGGUGCUUGCAUCAUGAUUUACAUUUGAGUGAGUGGCGAACUGGUGAGUAACACGUGGGAAACCUGCCCAGAAGCGGGGGAUAACACCUGGAAACAGAUGCUAAUACCGCAUAACAACUUGGACCGCAUGGUCCGAGUUUGAAAGAUGGCUUCAGCUAUCACUUUUGGAUGGUCCCGCGGCGUAUUAGCUAGAUGGUGGGGUAACGGCUCACCAUGGCAAUGAUACGUAGCCGACCUGAGAGGGUAAUCGGCCACAUUGGGACUGAGACACGGCCCAAACUCCUACGGGAGGCAGCAGUAGGGAAUCUUCCACAAUGGACGAAAGUCUGAUGGAGCAACGCCGCGUGAGUGAAGAAGGGUUUCGGCUCGUAAAACUCUGUUGUUAAAGAAGAAYAUAUCUGAGAGUAACUGUUCAGGUAUUGACGGUAUUUAACCAGAAAGCCACGGCUAACUACGUGCCAGCAGCCGCGGUAAUACGUAGGUGGCAAGCGUUGUCCGGAUUUAUUGGGCGUAAAGCGAGCGCAGGCGGUUUUUUAAGUCUGAUGUGAAAGCCUUCGGCUCAACCGAAGAAGUGCAUCGGAAACUGGGAAACUUGAGUGCAGAAGAGGACAGUGGAACUCCAUGUGUAGCGGUGAA
This 636-nucleotide ribosomal RNA is filed under the name Lactiplantibacillus plantarum. RNAcentral describes it as "bacterial SSU rRNA". It matches the Rfam family "Bacterial small subunit ribosomal RNA", at positions 74 to 685 of the family's 1533-position model. The record is from RNAcentral. Lineage: Bacteria; Bacillati; Bacillota; Bacilli; Lactobacillales; Lactobacillaceae.